GACUGCUAAGCUGACAUAAUGAGAUAAUAUCCUUCACUGGCAUAAGUAAGGCUACAAGAUGGACUGCUACCCACAUUGGUAAUUAUACAUGCUCCAUUUCCACAACUGGAACCAGAAUGAAUGCUCUACAGCAUUUUACUCUCUCUGAAUAACAUUAACUGAAAAAAAACAGGCUUAACUUUGUUCCCAGGCUCUCUAUCUCCUCCAGCAGUGCCAAGGGAUGGGAAUGGGAGUUGCAGUCAGUUCAUCACUGCUGCUGCUUCCUUCGCAGGGGAAGGAUUCUUCACAGCCUUCCCCUGAUCCAGAAUGGGGUCUAUCCCCCAGAAGACAAUCCUCCAUUAACUUCUCCCAGGUCCUGCCAGGAUCCUGUUGCAAUGUGGACUUCCCACGGGGUCACAUCUUCCUUUGGGCACUCACCUGCUCUGGCAUGGAGCUGCUCCAGGGACUGCAGGGGAAUAUUGGGUCCAUCACGGACCCUUUUGGGCUGCAGGGGCACACCCUGUUUCACCAUGGCCUGCAUCAGAGGCUGCAGGGAAUCUCAGCUCCAGGGCCUGGAGCACCUUCUGACUCUCCUUCUUCACUGACCUUGGUGUCUGCAGAGUUGUUGCUUUCAUAUAUUCUCACUCCUCUGUUCUCUGGUUGCAAUUUGCUUCUGCCUUUCCUUAACUUUGUUUCCUCCCUUCUUAACCAUGAUAUUCCAAAGGUGCUCCCAUUGUCACUGCUGGGCCUGGCCUUGGAGCUGGCUGACUGCUUCUGCUGAACAGAGCUGAGCUUUUAGCAACUGCUCACA
Molecule: long non-coding RNA, 790 nt
Filed under: Taeniopygia guttata (zebra finch)
Lineage: Eukaryota; Metazoa; Chordata; Aves; Passeriformes; Estrildidae
Description: lncRNA (ENSTGUG00000025108.1)
Source: RNAcentral